RNAcentral lists this ribosomal RNA (253 nucleotides) under uncultured bacterium. Its description in RNAcentral is "partial 16S ribosomal RNA". It matches the Rfam family "Bacterial small subunit ribosomal RNA", at positions 524 to 776 of the family's 1533-position model. The record is from RNAcentral.
UACGUAGGGUGCGAGCGUUAAUCGGAAUUACUGGGCGUAAAGUGUGCGCAGGCCGCCGAGCAUGUCGAGUGUGAAAGCCCCGAGCUUAACUUGGGAACUGCGCUCGAAACUACUUGGCUAGAGUGUGGCAGAGGGAGGUGGAAUUCCACGUGUAGCGGUGAAAUGCGUAGAGAUGUGGAGGAACACCGAUGGCGAAGGCAGCCUCCUGGGCCAACACUGACGCUCAUGCACGAAAGCGUGGGGAUCAAACAGG